UUUUCCCUGUAAACUUUACCUCCUUCUUCCACCAUCACCAAUCUCAGAGAGUUAGCAACUGCGUCUUUAGUAAAUGAUCCGUCCAACUCAUUUCUCGCUAUCUCAUGUCCCAACUUCUUUUCCUCCAAUAGGCUGGAAAUCAAUCCUUGGUCCAGCAAGAAAGGCAACAAGAUUAUCCAUUUCCCGAAUUGCAAAGCCUCCACGACUGAGCUCAGCCCGGAGUGACACAAGAUUCCACCCACCGACUCGUGGCUCAGUACCUUGAGUUGAGGAACCCAACUUGUAAAAACCACCCCACGUCCUUUAGUUCUCUCCUCGAACCCUUCUGGUAAAUGAGUCACCUCAUUAUCUGCUGCCCCUCGUUGCUUCCUCAGAACCCAGAAAAAUGGCAAUUCCGACUUCUCCAAGCCUAAUGCAAUUUCAAUAAGUUCAUCUUGAUUUGGUUUCGUUUCACUUCCAAAAGCUACAUAAACAACCGAUCCUUUUUCUUUCGCGUCAAGCCAUUCCUUAAUUUCAAUCCAGUUUUCAUUUUGCUCAUCAGAACCACUAUCAGUAGUUUUUGGGGGCAAAUGGCCGACUGGAAUAAUUGGUUUUUCGUAAAUAUUCUCUAGAAGUUGUAGCCACUCAGGCUCAAACUCAUAACAACUUCUCAUCACCACCACAUCACAGCCGUCAAUCGUGGCUACCAAUCGGUAAAUGUCCGAAACAUUACCUCCGUCUAUAAUUGCCUCCUUAAACUGGCGAUUAAUUUGAAAAAAGCGCAUAGAAACAGAUGUUUCAAAGGGUACCCACUUGGGUUUCACAGUGAAAUCUUCGGGCUUCACCCUUUCAUCUUGAUUUUGUAAUGUAAGUGAUGUUGGACCAGUAACGCUCAAAAGAGUUGCAGUAAAUAUGCUGAAAAAAGCACAUGGAAUGUUGAGUUUAGCAGCUUCUGGGUAUAACCAGUAUUGAGCAAAAUCGGCAAUAAUCCAGUCAGCUGCGGAGUCUUCCAACAAACAAGUGAUUCUUGGCUGAAGCUUGUCGAAGGCAAUUUUAAGGUAGCGGACCAUAUCGAAUGGUACAUCAAUGGUGGCUUCUGCAUCUUCAGGUAGACUAUCAACUUUUGGCAAUUGAAUCUUGACAAAUUCUAUUAGAUGGGUUAAAUUCGAAGGCAGUUUGGGAAGGCGAUCAAUGUUUCUGGGGGUCGAAACAAAGGAGACACUGUGGCCUUUCUGGGCUAUGAGCUUGGCGAGCUCUAGGUAUGGAAUCAAGUGACCGAAGGCCAGCCAUGGGAACAUGAGAAUAUGCAAUUUACCCUGCUCAGCCAUGGACUACAGAUUUAGAGGUGCAGUGCACAAGAUUCUUGAUUAUACUAUGAAGGUUUGUGAUUGAGAUAUUUAUGUUGAUUAGAUCAGUACAAUUUCAACAUGCUUUUCAUACCGCAACUAUCCCCACAGGAACGCCAGCAAAUGAGUGAUAUUUUCCACUGGUACACACCAAACAUAUCCACAUCUAUAUUAAGACCCUGUUUGAAGGAUUAAAGUCUAAAUUUUAUCCUAAAUCAAAAUCAACAAGUUAUUUUAAUCCCGUACUUUAUGGAAUUCACAACAUUUCAAUAACAUAUUUUAUUAAUUUUUAUCAAUCAAAAUUUACUAAAAAUCUGAUUUUAAUACGUUAUUUUUUAAUGUUUUAAAGCUAUAUUAAUUCAAAAUAAUCAACUCUUAUAAAUAACGUAACACAAUCUUAUGUAUUUUUUACGUCUUUCUUUAUGUUUGAUUGUUAAAAUCACGGAAAGAGAAAGAUAGCGAGUUCACAAUAAUUAUGAGAGGUAUAAUCGAGCUUCAAUUCGAUUUUUCGAGAACGAUAGAUACAACACUGCAGUAAAAUAACAGAUUCGGGUAAAACUUAUCAAUUUGAUUAAGUUGAACUUGAAAUGAAAAAUAAAAAUAGGAAAAAUCAUACUUUUUGGCUUUAAGCUAAAUUAAUUAGUUAGUAAAUUUAUUUAGAAAAAAUAAAAUAAUUUAAUUUAUUUAAAACAAAUAAAUUUAAAAAACAAGUAAUUGGCAAAAAACGUCCCUACCUUUCAAGUGUAUUGUGAAAAACAUCCAUACAUUUCAUUUUUUGGUACAAAACGUCCCUACCUUCCACUUUCUUGGCGCUGAACGUCAUUUUCAUCAAUUUUUGACGAUUUUAUCCUUCAGUCAAAUACAACAAAAAGAAAAGAAAGGAAAAAAAACAAAAAAACUAAUUGCAACCACAUUCCCAAAAUUUUUAAAAAUUGCAAAUGGUAACUUGAUAAUUACCAUAUUAAAUAAAUUGAAAAAAAAAAAUCAAAAAAUUAAGAAAAAAAAUUAAAAAAUGGGUUGUUUUCUUCACGACAACCCACCCCACCAUACAAAAUCUCUUUGCACAGCAAAUCCUCCAAAUCCGAAGCCCCAUUACAUCUCUCUGUACAAUGGGGUUUGAUACUGUAUAUGAAAAUGAAGGAGCUUGUACAAAGAGGUAGAUCGUAACUGAUAGCUUACUUUGAGAUUUUGUCAAAUGGAUCUUUGAGAUUUUUGGUUUUAGAAGCGGUUUUUAGAGUAAAGUAAACGGUGACGCGGGGGUUGUUAAUAGCUUACUUUUUGCUAUUUAUCUUCUAUUAUUGUUAUUUUUCAGUUUUGAUGAUUUCUGUGGGUAGUAUAGAUGGGGGAAAUUUGUCAGGUUUAGGGUUAGAAAUGGAAGAAAAUGAACUUGAAGAAGGAGAGGCUGACUGUUUUCAGAAUGAUGGUGACGAUUCCACCAUUGACCCUGAUAUUGCACUCUCUUACAUUGUAAGUUCAUUUUAUUUUUUAAUCUUUCUUUGUAAUUCAGUUUUUCAGUUUUCUAAAGCUGCAUGUAGUUUGAUUUAUAAAUUAUAUCCUGUUCAGUUGUGCAGAGAGAUGUAAUAGGGCUUCGAAUUUGGAGGAUUUGCUGUGUAGAGAGAUUUUGUAUGGUGGGGUGGGGUGGGGUGAGAGAAGAAGAAGAUGAAUAAUAGGGUGUGGUGUGGUGUGGUGAAGAAGACAACCCAUUUUUUUAAUUUUUUUCUUAAUUUUUUGAUUUUUUUUCAAUUUAUUUAAUAUGGUACUUAUUAAGUUACCAUUUGCAAUUUUUAGAAAUUUUGGGAAUGUGGUUGCAAUUAGAUUUUUGUUUUUUUCUUUCUUUUUUUUUAUUUAUUUGAAUGAAGGGUAAAAUCGUCAAAAAUUGAUGAAAAGAACGUUCAGCGCCAAAAAAGUGGAAGGUAGGGACGUUUUGUGCCAAAAAAUGAAAGGUAAGGAUGUUUUCCACAAUACAAUUGAAAGGUAGGGACAUUUUGUGCCAAUUACCCAUUUAAAAAAAUUAGAAAGAAUCAGUUCUUAUUGGAUUUUUCGGUUCUUGAUCUAGAACCAAGAACCGAUCCAAAUCUGUAGAUUCUCAAUUUAAAUACCCGUUUGAGUAUUUACCUUAAGAAGAACCGCUCAGUUCGUAGUCGAGAGUUUUGUCCAAUCCUAAUUCACAAAUAACAUUCAUGACAACUGACAGUAAAGUAAAAAUUAUGAACAGUGCUAUAAGUAUAGAUUUUUUCUGCAGAUUUUGUACAGAAAGAUAGCUGUCUUCCCGUAAUUGAUUAUUGUUAAAAACAAUUUUUUGCAACAGUAAAUCACAAGAAGACAACUAUGUCAUGUACCAAUUCUGUUAAAAAAAUUUAUACUCGUAGAUUAAUGCAAAAGUUAUCUUCAAACCUGAAUCCAAUGCCACCCAAAACAUGUCUACGCAGGUGUUAUCUAGGUAUGGUCGUGAUUAAUCUCACUAAUCUGCAGAGCAGAGCCCCUAAAACUAGAUUCAAAUGAUGUGAUAAAACAUUCCAGUGUUUUUAACCAGCUAGUAAUAGGAGCAUGGCAUACCAGUUACACUUCCUUCUAAUCACCACGCUUCCGAUUAUAUUAUGUGUUUUGAAUUCAAAAUGUAACCCCCAAUCAAACAAAUUCUAUGACCAUCUCCGAUUGUUCCUUUUCCUCUUUAUUUUAAAUUUUUUUGGAAUGCAAGAUAUUUUGUCUCACUUCGUCGCCAUUGGUCAAUCAAGAAACAAUUUGAUAGGUCGGUAGGUACGUAGGUAACAAGACAAGUAGAAAAGGAAUUGAUGGGUGGAGAUGCUUCCAUGAAGCACGAUUCGGAAAAAAAUAAGUUAAUUUCUCCUCCAAAAUAAUAUGCAGUAGAGGUCUAUCAGUUGAUCUCUAUGGAAUCUUCCGGAUUGGAUUCAAUAGGUACCCUAGUUCAUAUAUUCACAGUUCUGUCAUGAAUUCGUCCCUUCUUGUAAAUAAUCUAUUCUGGUAGGGAUGAAAAUGCACAUAGCAAACAAGCAUACUUUUGAAAGUCAAGAUAGACAAGUGGAUUAAAGCUUUUGAAUGAAAUCUAUUCUUUCUACUCUAUUGUUCUCUUGAUUUUGAAAGAAACCUUUAGCUUUUGUUUACUUUAGUAUAAAAAUCUUAUCCAAUCCAAGCGUUUUAACACUUGGAUAUUAUAAAAAGAUGCAUGCUAUUACCCAAAUCUAAAUUCUCCCAGGCUAAAACAACAAUCCCCGUAUUGGAGUCACUUGAAAAGCUAGAGAGUUACAUCAUAUACAAGUAGAUCUUCUUCUGUUCAUCUCUUAUCUCUGUACUUGUCUAUCAUUUCUCUCUCAACAGUUACAUACAAGCCAAGCAAUGCAUAAACGAUACACUCAUAAUUCACUUGGAAAGUGUAUUUAUUUCUAUUAGAAUACUUUAAGCCUUCUUGUGAUUUUGUAGAUGAUCUAAGAAUCGCUCCAUAUAACCAUCUUGUAUAUCUUUAUUCGACAACAAUUCUCUCAUCUCUUUAACCUUUUCCCUGUAAACUUUACCUCCUUCUUCCACCAUCACCAAUCUCAGAGAGUAAGCAACUGCGUCUUUAGUAAAUGAUCCGUCCAACUCAUUUCUCGCUAUCUCAUGUCCCAACUUCUUUUCCUCCAAUAGGCUGGAAAUCAUUCCUUGGUCCGCCAAGAAAGGCAACAAGAUUAUCCAUUUCCCGAAUUGCAAAGCCUCCACGACUGAGCUCAGCCCGGAGUGACACAAGAUUCCACCCACCGACUCGUGGCUCAGUACCUUGAGUUGAGGAACCCAACUUGUAAAAACCACCCCACGUCCUUUAGUUCUCUCCUCGAACCCUUCUGGUAAAUGAGUCACC
Molecule: long non-coding RNA, 5178 nt
Filed under: Olea europaea (common olive)
Lineage: Eukaryota; Viridiplantae; Streptophyta; Magnoliopsida; Lamiales; Oleaceae
Description: long non-coding RNA (OEUR_LNC007054)
Source: RNAcentral